AGGCCAAAAGAUUAAAAGGCACGGCCGGCACGCCCCGCCGCCGCCGACUGCGCCCUGCGCCUCCACCGCGACGCACGGCCGCCGUUCUCCUUCCUCGACGCGCCGCCGACCCCCUUCCCCGAACGCCUUUGGCCCCAAUAGGCGACGCAGGGCCGCCGUCCCCCUUCCUCAACGUGCCGCCGGCCCUCUUCCCCGAACGCCGCUGGCCCGAAUCAGCGACGCAGGGCCGCUCGCGCUUCUCAACCAGCGCCAGGCCUCCACCCCCGUCCGCUUGGCCGCCUGUGCUGACGCCCGUCGUCCCGAGGCCGACGCGCUGCCGCUGGGCUUGCGCCACUGUCAACUGCGCCCACCCGCGCUCCUCCCCGACGCCAGGUCUGCGCCACAGUCAACUGCGCCCGCCCACGCUCCUCUUGACGCCAGAUGGAGCCCAUAGUUAGCAGAAACCUUCCUCUUGGGUUUGAUUCAAGUACAUGCUGCAGCGUGAAAGUGUUAGGAGCGUUUCUUUGCCUUAGGGACUCCUGUACUGCUGAAAGCUGAUUUAUGCAUUGCUAAAGCACAAUAUGUAAUGUUACUUGAAAGAAAUGCACGGUGCUGUUUAUGAACCAUAUAUAUUAUUGUUCCGAUCUUGGUUA
This is a long non-coding RNA of Panicum hallii, 632 nucleotides long. RefSeq lists it as uncharacterized. The record is from RefSeq and is a predicted model, not a curated record. The transcript is spliced from 2 exons. NCBI's taxonomy places the organism in Eukaryota, Viridiplantae, Streptophyta, Magnoliopsida, Poales, Poaceae.